RNAcentral lists this ribosomal RNA (385 nucleotides) under uncultured bacterium. RNAcentral describes it as "bacterial SSU rRNA". It matches the Rfam family "Bacterial small subunit ribosomal RNA", at positions 29 to 438 of the family's 1533-position model. The record is from RNAcentral.
AACGAACGCUGGCGGCAGGCUUAACACAUGCAAGUCGAACGGUUGUAGCAAUACAGCAGUGGCAGACGGGUGAGUAACACGUGGGAACCUUCCUAGGGGGUACGGAACAACUCAGGGAAACUUGAGCUAAUACCGUAUACGUCCGUGAGGAGAAAGAUUUAUCGCCCUUAGACGGGCCCGCGUCGGAUUAGCUAGUUGGUGGGGUAACGGCCUACCAAGGCGACGAUCCGUAGCUGAUCUUAGAGGAUGAUCAGCCACACUGGGACUGAGACACGGCCCAGACUCCUACGGGAGGCAGCAGUGGGGAAUCUUGGACAAUGGGCGCAAGCCUGAUCCAGCCAUGCCGCGUGAGUGAAGAAGGUCUUCGGAUUGUAAAGCUCUUUUG